GAUGGACGCUGGCGGCGUGCCUAAUACAUGCAAGUCGAGCGAACAGACGAGAGUGCUUGCACUCUCUGACGUUAGCGGCGGACGGGUGAGUAACACGUGGGUAACCUACCUAUAAGACUGGGAUAACUUCGGGAAACCGGAGCUAAUACCGGAUAAUAUUUAGCUUCGCAUGAAGCAAUAGUGAAAGACGGUUCUGCUGUCACUUAUAGAUGGACCCGCGGUGUAUUAGCUAGUUGGUGAGGUAACGGCUCACCAAGGCAACGAUACAUAGCCGACCUGAGAGGGUGAUCGGCCACACUGGGACUGAGACACGGCCCAGACUCCUACGGGAGGCAGCAGUAGGGAAUCUUCCGCAAUGGACGAAAGUCUGACGGAGCAAUGCCGCGUGAGUGAAGAAGGUUUUCGGAUCGUAAAACUCUGUUGUAAGGGAAGAACAAGCACGUUAGUAACUGAACGUACCUUGACGGUACCUUACCAGAAAGCCACGGCUAACUACGUG
This 499-nucleotide ribosomal RNA is filed under the name uncultured bacterium. RNAcentral describes it as "partial 16S ribosomal RNA". It matches the Rfam family "Bacterial small subunit ribosomal RNA", at positions 28 to 507 of the family's 1533-position model. The record is from RNAcentral.